This is a long non-coding RNA of Arachis duranensis, 234 nucleotides long. RefSeq lists it as uncharacterized. Lineage: Eukaryota; Viridiplantae; Streptophyta; Magnoliopsida; Fabales; Fabaceae. The record is from RefSeq and is a predicted model, not a curated record. The transcript is spliced from 3 exons.
AUAUUUGGUGCCACUGACCUUGCAUCAAAGGGACAGGGAGCCUCAGAUAGCAGUAAUGUGAAAAUUAAAGUGUGACGAUCCACGAUGCCAUGUGUGGCAGCACAUAAAUUGUGUUAUUGUUCCAGAAAAACCUAUGGAAGGUGUCCUGCCAGUACCUGAUAAAUUUUAUUGUGAACUCUGCAGACUCAGCCGUGCAGACCCGUUUUGGGUUUCAAUGGGACACCCCUUGUUUCC